RNAcentral lists this ribosomal RNA (240 nucleotides) under uncultured bacterium. RNAcentral's name for it is "partial 16S ribosomal RNA". It matches the Rfam family "Bacterial small subunit ribosomal RNA", at positions 524 to 763 of the family's 1533-position model. The record is from RNAcentral.
UACGUAGGGGGCAAGCGUUAUCCGGAAUUACUGGGUGUAAAGGGAGCGUAGACGGUAAAGCAAGUCUGGAGUGAAAGGCCGGGGCCCAACCCCGGGACUGCUCUGGAAACUGUUAAACUGGAGUGCAGGAGAGGCAGGCGGAAUUCCUAGUGUAGCGGUGAAAUGCGUAGAUAUUAGGAGGAACACCAGUGGCGAAGGCGGCCUGCUGGACUGUAACUGACGUUGAGGCUCGAAAGCGUG